AUCUGGAGAGGAUGCUUCUGGCGCGGCGCCUUCCGAGUUCCCUGGAACGGGACGCCGGAGAGGGUGAGAGCCCCGUACGGUCGGACGCCUAGCCUUUGUGAAGCUCCUUCGACGAGUCGAGUAGUUUGGGAAUGCUGCUCAAAAUGGGAGGUAAAUUUCUUCUAAAGCUAAAUAUUGGCCAGAGACCGAUAGCGCACAAGUAGAGUGAUCGAAAGAUGAAAAGCACUUUGAAAAGAGGGUUAAACAGUACGUGAAAUUGUUGAAAGGGAAGCGCCCGUGGCCAGACUUGUGCCCCGCGGACCACCCGGCGCCCUCAGCGCCGGUGCACUCCGCGGGGCGCAGGCCAGCAUCGGUUUUUCCAGGGGGACAAAGGCGGCGGGAACGUGGCUCCCUCGGGAGUGUUAUAGCCCGCCGCGCCAUGCCCCUGGGGGGACCGAGGACCGCGCUUCGGCAAGGAUGCUGGCGUAAUGGCCACCGGCGACCCGUCUUGAAACACGGACCAAGGAGUCAAGCAUUGGGGCGAGUGUCUGGGUGCCAAACCCGCACGCGAAAUGAAAGUGAACGCAGGUGARAGCUUCGGCGCAUCAUCGACCGAUCCUGAUGUUCUCGGAUGGAUUUGAGUAAGAGCCUUACCGCUUGGACCCGAAAGAUGGUGAACUAUGCCUGUAUAGGGUGAAGCCAGAGGAAACUCUGGUGGAGG
RNAcentral lists this ribosomal RNA (700 nucleotides) under Grosmannia serpens. RNAcentral describes it as "eukaryotic LSU rRNA". It matches the Rfam family "Eukaryotic large subunit ribosomal RNA", at positions 148 to 873 of the family's 3401-position model. The record is from RNAcentral. Lineage: Eukaryota; Fungi; Ascomycota; Sordariomycetes; Ophiostomatales; Ophiostomataceae.